This 292-nucleotide ribosomal RNA is filed under the name uncultured bacterium. Its description in RNAcentral is "partial 16S ribosomal RNA". It matches the Rfam family "Archaeal small subunit ribosomal RNA", at positions 455 to 747 of the family's 1478-position model. The record is from RNAcentral.
GUGCCAGCCGCCGCGGUAAUACCAGCACCCCGAGUGGUCGGGACGAUUAUUGGGCCUAAAGCAUCCGUAGCCGGUUUUACAAGUCCUCCGUUAAAUCCAACUGCUUAACAGAUGGGCCGCGGAGGAUACUAUAAGACUAGGAGGCAGGAGAGGCAAGCGGUACUCAGUGGGUAGGGGUAAAAUCCGUUGAUCCAUUGAAGACCACCAGUGGCGAAGGCGGCUUGCCAGAAUGCGCUCGACGGUGAGGGAUGAAAGCUGGGGGAGCAAACCGGAUUAGAAACCCUUGUAGUCC